GCCGGCUACAUCGGCAGCCACACCGUCCUCCAGCUUCUCCAACUCGGCUUCCGCGUUGUCGUCCUCGACAACCUCGACAACGCCUCCGAGCUCGCCAUCCUCCGCGUCAGGGAACUCGCCGGACACAACGCCAACAACCUCGACUUCCGCAAGGUCUUCCUUCCUUCCUUCCUUCCUUACUUAAUUCUCUCUCUCUCUCUCUCUACAUUAGAUUCUGAUUUUGCGGUUCCUUUUAUUAAUUUAACAAAACAAAACAACCAUUCCCAUCUCGAUAAGCGGCGCGCGGCGAUAUAUCAUAACUUGUCUUUUUGAUUAGAUUGAAAUGAAAUCAAUUGGAUUGGAUUAAUCAUCUCAUCUAGUCAACAUAUUACUAGUUACUUAUAUCUGUAUUCGGGCGACACAAAUCCAAAUAGUAACUACUCCUCUUCCUCCUUAGUAAUGGAAAGUUAGAGUUCCUACAAAUAUUUUUGUUUGAAUUGGAGUUGUAGUCGUUCGUUUUCAUGGGGAGGCGGUCAAUUGAAUUGAAUUGAAUUGAGUUGGUGGAGUAGUAGUGGAAAUGGGAAAAAAAAACCCAAGGAGGGAGGGAGGGAGGCGUUGGAAGGCGCCGGACGCGUUGUUCCCGCCCCCCUGCUUCAUUUCUGUUUUGAUUUUUCAUGGCCAAGCACACAACGCAUGCACCACCCACCCCACAUACGUUCCUUCUACUUUCUUUCCACCCAUAUAUAAAAAGAUCCUUUACAAUCCACAUCUCAAUCUCAAAUAUAAAUAGGAUUAUUAAUACUAAUAAGCUCAUUCCCCUGGUGCAUUGCAUACUCAUAAAAUUUCUUGCUUAAAGGACUCAAAAUCUAUCUUAGACUAAUAUAACAUAUAAAUUAUUAUGCAGGUUGACCUCCGCGACAAGCAAGCGUUGGACCAAAUCUUCUCCUCUCAAAGGUUGGUUAGUCUUCCUUGCUCCUUCAAUUUGCACUUAAGUACCUACCUUUAAUUUGUUUUCAUUUUUGGUUAGCAGCGUGACACCGUAAAUUUCAGCAUAAUAUAUAUACAAACUAUAGCUAUUAAACUAUUUCAGCAUAAUUUCAUCGGUCGGUCGGUCGGUCGGUCGUUUAUUCCAUGAAUCAAAUCAAAUCGAUCAUUGUCAAAAUAAUUACUCCUCAUCAUGUAUUACAAGUAUUCUGGACCUAGCUAGCUGCUCAGCCAGCCUGCCAGGUCAAGAAUCUGGUGCUUGGCCAGUUUAAUUUGCAGCCGUCUAUCACGCACGGUAGCUGUCACGCUCAUAGUACCAACCAACGAACCGAACCUUCCUUGUGGAAUUAAUGCAUUACUAUAUAUCACAGGUGACAGUCCAUCCCUUUUGUACCCAACCGCGUAGUAUACUGGAGUACUAAUAAGCAAUACUAUGAUGAAUGAAAUGAAGAGUAGUAGUAGGUAUUAUUAUCUGUUUUGGCGAAGAUUUGAGACGGACGGACGCUGGUCUGCUUGGCUGCAGGUUUGAGGCUGUCAUCCAUUUUGCCGGGCUGAAAGCUGUUGGCGAGAGCGUGCAGAAGCCCCUGCUUUACUACGACAACAACCUCAUCGGCACCAUCACUCUCCUGCAGGUCAUGGCCGCACAUGGCUGCACCAAGGUACAGCCCCCGCACCAUUUCAUUUAUUUUUCUCCCAUUGUUUUGCUUUGCCUAUAUGUAUAUGCGUGCCUCUUGCUGGCUUUAUUGGUUGGCUGGCCUGGCUCUUCUUUGCAUUGCUGGGGGUCACAGGAUAUACCUUAUGCCUUUUUGCAUUGCUGGGGAACACAGGAACAUAUACCACAGAUUACCUACCUAUCACAACCACUCUGUGUCUGUGUGUGUUGUUUGCCAUGCAUGAUGCACGGGAAUAUAACCCUCCCCUCUUAAAAUUGCUGCCUGCCUGGUCCCACUCCCAGCCAAGAUUUUUUUUUUUGUUCUCUUCCUACUGCCCUCUGAUUUUUCUUCUUCCUUUCAUCUUGUUUUGGUUGGUUGGUUGGUUCUGAGCUUACUCUGGAGGCGGCAUCGCAACAGAUUUAUACUUACUUAAUCCACUAAAAGUAAACAUAUAUGCUUUAGUUUUUAAUAAUGGACAUAAUCAUAAGCUAUUUUGCUCCGGCCAGCUGGUGUUCUCAUCAUCCGCAACUGUCUACGGGUGGCCCAAGGAGGUGCCCUGCACUGAAGAAUCCCCACUUUGUGCAAUGAACCCCUACGGCAGAACAAAGGUACUCCAGUUUUUUCUCUUCUGUUAUACUAUAUUCAGUUCAAUCAUCAUGCCUAGGAUCAAUCAAUCAAUAAAUCCUAAUUAAGCCAAACAACAUAUAUAUGAUAUGAUAUGAUUGCAGCUGGUAAUCGAAGACAUGUGCCGGGAUCUGCAUGCCUCAGACCCAAACUGGAAGAUCAUACUGCUCCGAUACUUCAACCCUGUUGGAGCUCACCCAAGCGGGUACAUUGGUGAGGACCCCUGCGGCAUCCCAAACAACCUCAUGCCCUUCGUCCAGCAGGUCGCUGUUGGCAGGAGGCCGGCCCUUACCGUCUAUGGAACCGACUACAACACCAAGGAUGGAACUGGGGUAUGUAUAUGCAUUAUUCAUUCAUUCUCAACAAUCAGUCGUAUAUGAUUUACUAAUUAAUUUUAUUCCUU
RNAcentral lists this long non-coding RNA (2643 nucleotides) under Oryza sativa (Asian cultivated rice). RNAcentral describes it as "long non-coding RNA (OSAT_LNC001059)". Lineage: Eukaryota; Viridiplantae; Streptophyta; Magnoliopsida; Poales; Poaceae. The record is from RNAcentral.